CGCAGGGGCUGAUGGGAGCGCCGUGCGGCGGUUGGGCCCUGCCGGGCGGGAUGCGCGGCCCGGCCCGCGGCAGCUGUGGAUUCUUGUAGAAGAUUGAUAACUGCCAACAUUUGUCCAAAAGAGAAGAUGGGUGGAUUAAUUUCAAGAUGGAGGCAGGCAAAGCCCUCCACUGUAGAAGUAUUAGAAAAAAUUGAUAAGGAAAUACAGACAUUAGAAGAAUUUAGAGAAAAAAAUCAGAGGCUACAGAAACUGUGGGUUGGAAGGCUGCUUCUCUACUCUUCACUUCUUUACCUUAUCACCUGCUUAAUUGUAUAUUUGUGGUGUCUUCCUGAUGAAUGGACAGCAAGGCUGGCUAUGACACUUCCAUUUUUUGCAUUUCCAUUAAUAAUCUGGUGUAUAAGAACACUGCUCAUUUUUUUCUUUUCCAAAAGGACAGAGAGGAAUAAUGAUGCGCUGGAAGAUUUAAAGUCUCAAAAGAAAAAAAUACUUGAGGAAGUAAUGGAGAAGGAAACUUACAAGACUGCUAAAUUAAUUCUUGAAAGGUUUGAUCCAAAAUCAAGUGCAAAGGAGGCUGAACUACCAUCUGCUGGAACAUCUGCAACCCCAAGACCUGGACAAGAAAUACGGCAGAGGACCACAGCUCAAAGAAAUGCUUCUACAUCCCCACCUAUGACUCCUAAACAAGGCUCUCCAAAACCCCUGCUUCCAGUAUCUCCUAGUCUGCAGAGAGAUGCAUCACCUCUGAGUGGACCUCCAGAAAGAACUGCUGUGCCAUCCUUGCAGUCAAACGUUUUACCAAGACGUCCUGGAUCCCCUGCUACUUCAGUGCCUGGAAUGGGUCUUCAUCCUCCAGGCCCUCCUUUGGCAAGACCUAUUCUUCCUCGAGAAAGAGGAGUUGUUGAUAGAGUUAUUGAAUAUUUGGUUGGCGAUGGUCCUCAGAACAGGUACGCCCUUAUAUGUCAGCAAUGUUUUUCUCACAAUGGUAUGGCUUUGAAGGAGGAGUUUGAAUACGUAGCAUUUAGAUGUGCCUACUGCUUUUUCCUGAAUCCUGCAAGAAAAACUAGACCUCAGGCUCCACGACUUCCAGACUUCAGCUUUGAAAAAAAAAGGCCUAAAGAAUUGCCACCUGAAACUGAGCCUCUAGAGCCUAGAGAGACAAAGUCUCAGGAGACUCAAAAGGCAGAAGAAUCUGGAGAAGACACAGCCCAGAUCACUGAGGCAAAUGAGACAGACGAUAAAGCACCAAGUCCUGAGCAGCUACAUGAUAAGCUAUCUGAAGAAGAUGAAAAAGAAGCAGAAAACAUUUCAGCAACUGAAGACUCUAUUUCAGAGGCUGUUUCAGCUGAACAAAGUGAAGAAUCUUUAAUGAAAGCAGAAUAAAGUACUUCAAGUGCCUUCUCUAGCUAGUUUUUAGCUUUGUUCAUGCCUGUUGUUACUAUUCAGAGAUGCUGAAUUUGUAGAAAACUCAAGCAACAAAGACCUUCCAGCUCUCCUGAAAUGGUCUGCCCUCUAAUACCUGGCAUCGCUUCGAGGAGUUCUACUCGGUUGUCGAAACUUAAUUUUGACUUGUUCAGCACACAAAGAAAAACAUUUUUACAAAACACCAGGAAAAUUCAUUUUAAAAAAACUAUUUCAAAUGAUGUUUUAGAAGAAAUGUAAAAGUUCUGCCAAAGGCUGGCACACUGAGGAUGAAGAGAAGUUCCUCCAAGGCUUGUGGCUUCCAGAAGUGUGCUCUUCAGUCUAAGGAUGCUGAUGCCAUUCUUACUUCCUUCACUGAUGUAAAAGCUGAAAUGGAAGAAAAUUCCCUGGGCAGCAGGGCUAAGAAAUCUGAUGUCACAGCUCUACAGAUGCCCUAUUGCCCAGGACUGUCUGAGGAAACUUGUGUCUGUACAUCUCCCAAAACAUUGCUGGUCAGGAAUGGACUUUCAGCUGCAUUUGAGGAAUGUAUGUCUUCAAUGCUGUCUUGUUACACUUCAGGCUUCUCUUCUCACAAAGUUGGUUAAAACCAAUUGUAAUAUUUCUCUAGGGAUUCUCAGGCAAUGGACUCCAUCUCAGGCUAAAUUCUGUGAUAAAUCUGCAGAGUACAAAAUGCAUGUAUUUUGUAAAUAAGUGUGUGCAACAAAAAAGUUUGUCUUUUUCAACCCUUAUAAAAAUUAUUACAAUAAACUUUUCCCUCUGAGCUUAUACAACA
Molecule: RNA transcript, 2191 nt
Organism: Apus apus (common swift)
Lineage: Eukaryota; Metazoa; Chordata; Aves; Apodiformes; Apodidae
Gene: LNPK
Gene name: lunapark, ER junction formation factor
Exons: 15
Source: RefSeq, a predicted model, not a curated record